GCCCAGACUCCUACGGGAGGCAGCAGUGGGGAAUAUUGCACAAUGGGGGAAACCCUGAUGCAGCAACGCCGCGUGGGUGAAGGAGUAUUUCGGUAUGUAAAGCCCUAUCGGCAGGGAAGAAGCAAGACGGUACCUGACUAAGAAGCCCCGGCUAACUACGUGCCAGCAGCCGCGGUAAUACGUAGGGGGCGAGCGUUAUCCGGAUUCACUGGGUGUAAAGGGAGCGUAGACGGCCAAGCAAGCCAGGAGUGAAAGCCCGGGGCCCAACCCCGGGACUGCUCUUGGAACUGCGCGGCUGGAGUGCAGGAGGGGCAGGCGGAAUUCCUGGUGUAGCGGUGAAAUGCGUAGAUAUCAGGAGGAACACCGGUGGCGAAGGCGGCCUGCUGGACUGCGACUGACGUUGAGGCCCGAAAGCGUGGGGAGCAAACAGGAUUAGAUACCCCAGUAAUG
This 450-nucleotide ribosomal RNA is filed under the name uncultured bacterium. RNAcentral's name for it is "partial 16S ribosomal RNA". It matches the Rfam family "Bacterial small subunit ribosomal RNA", at positions 329 to 793 of the family's 1533-position model. The record is from RNAcentral.